Molecule: ribosomal RNA, 484 nt
Filed under: uncultured bacterium
Lineage: Bacteria
Description: partial 16S ribosomal RNA
Rfam family: Bacterial small subunit ribosomal RNA
Source: RNAcentral
AUUGAACGCUGGCGGAAUGCUUUACACAUGCAAGUCGAGCGGCAGCGCGGCCUUCGGGCUGGCGGCGAGCGGCGAACGGGUGAGUAAUGCAUCGGAACAUGCCCAGUCGUGGGGGAUAACACUUCGAAAGAAGUGCUAAUACCGCAUACGUCCUGAGGGGGAAAGCGGGGGAUCGCAAGACAUCGCGCGAUUGGAGUGGCCGAUGUCAGAUUAGCUAGUUGGUGGGGUAAAGGCCUACCAAGGCGACGAUCUGUAGCUGGUCUGAGAGGAUGAUCAGCCACACUGGGACGGAGACACGGCCCAGACUCCUACGGGAGGCAGCAGUGGGGAAUUUUGGACAAUGGGGGCAACCCUGAUCCAGCCAUUCCGCGUGAGUGAAAGAGGCCUUCGGGUUGUAAAGCUCGUUCGGCAGGGACGAAACGGUGGGCUCUAACAUAGUCCGCUAAUGACGGUACCUGAAGAAGAAGCACCGGCUAACUACGUG